CCUACGGGUGGCUGCAGUGAGGAAUAUUGCUCAAUGGGCGAGAGCCUGAAGCAGCCAAGUCUCGUGAAGGAUGAAGGAUCUAUGGUUUGUACACUUCUUUUAUAUGGGAAUAAAGUGAGGACCGUGUUCCUUUUUGUAUGUCCCAUCUGAGUAAGCAUCGGAUAACUCCGUGCCAGCAGCAGCGGUAAUCCGGAGGAUGCGGACGUUAUCCGGAUUUAUUGGGUUUAAAGGGUGCGUAGGUGGUGAAUGAAGUCAGCGGUGAAAGUUUGUGGCUCAACCAUAAAAUUGCCGGUGAAACUGGUUGACUUGAGUAUAUUUGAGGUAGGCGGAAUGCGUGGUGUAGCGGUGAAAUGCAUAGAUAUCACGCAGAACUCCGAUUGCGAAGGCAGCUUACUAAACUAUAACUGACACUGAAGCACGAAAGCGUGGGGAUCAAACAGGAUUAGAUACCCUUGUAGUC
Molecule: ribosomal RNA, 460 nt
Filed under: uncultured bacterium
Lineage: Bacteria
Description: partial 16S ribosomal RNA
Rfam family: Bacterial small subunit ribosomal RNA
Source: RNAcentral